This 2686-nucleotide ribosomal RNA is filed under the name Naegleria lovaniensis. RNAcentral describes it as "bacterial LSU rRNA". It matches the Rfam family "Bacterial large subunit ribosomal RNA". The record is from RNAcentral. Lineage: Eukaryota; Heterolobosea; Eutetramitea; Acrasida; Naegleriidae.
AAAAAUAUAAAAUAGUAUUUAUUGGAUACCUUGGUAUUUAGUAUAUGAACGUGACAUUCGAAAAUAGAUAGUGAGAAUUAAAAAUUUUUCGUUUGUAGCUAUCAUGGUAGUACUAGCAUAUUGUUGUAGAUAUGUUAAUUACGUAAUUCAGUAUAACAAGUGAAUUGAAACAUCUUAGUAACUUGUUUAUGAUAAAACAAAAGAGAUUCUAGAAGUAGUGGUGAGCGAACCUAGAAAAGGGUAUUUGAUGGAGGUGGUCCUUGGUUAAAAUUAGAUUGGAAAACUAAACAAGAAAGGUGAAAGUCCUGUAUAAUCGUGCGAAGGGUCCAACAAAUAAAAAAGUAGAAUGUUGCCAGGCAACAGUAUUCGAAUAAAAGAAUACCACUUUUUAACCCUAAUAAAUACUAAAUAACCGAUAGUGUACAAGUACCGUGAGGGAAAGGUGAAAAGAUCUUAUUAAAAAGAGUAAAAAGACCUUGAAAAUAAAUACUAAAUAAGCAUUUGGAGCAAUGUUAAUAUUGUGACAAUAUACCUUUUGCAUAAUGGGUCAAUGAGUAUAUUUAUAUAGCAAGUGUAAGUCGUAAGAUGUACACGUAGUGAAAACGUAUUUAUAAGUUAUAUAAAUAUGACCCGAAACCAAGUGAUCUAUUCAUGAUCAGGUUGAGUACGUAUAAGACCUAUAUGUAGGAGGACCGAACCCGUGUAUGUUGCAAUAUACUGGGAUGAAUUGUGAAUAGGGGUGAAAGGCUAAUCAAACUUGGAAUAGCUGGUUUUUUGCGAAAUUUAUAGAGGUAAAGUAUUAUUUUUUACUUAUUAACUGUAAAGCACUUUAUAACUGAUGGGGAGUUUUUCUUACUGAAGUUAUGAAAACUUUGAAGGUAGGUAAAGUAAAUAAUAGUAAUCGGAAUAAAGGUGAUAAGGUCUUUAUUCAAAAGGGAGACAGCCCAGACUAUAAAUUAAAGUCUCUAAAUAUUUCCUUAGUGAUAUGAGAAGUUGAAUAAAGUAAGGAUUUAGGAUGUAGGCUUGGAAGCAGCCAUCAUUUAAAGAAAGCGUAAAUGCUCACUGAUUUCUUUUAUUUAAUUUUGCAAAUGUAAAGAGGCUUAAGGAAAUUACUGAAAUUAUAGGAACAAUGUUCGGUAGCAAAAUGCUUUGUAUAUAUCAAAGAUACAUCAAAAAGAUGUGUUAGUAAAUCAAAGUUAAUCAUAUUGACAUGAGUAACUUAAAUAAUGUGAGAAACAUUAUCACCGAAAAUCCAAGGGUUUCUGAUAAAAGGAUUAUCCAAUCAGAGUUAGUCGAUCUCUAAAAGAAAAACCGAUGUAAUUCUUGAUGAGAAUGACUGUAAAUGUGUUCAACCAUUCUAUGUAGUAACAAAGAAAAAAGUUGAUAUAAUAAAAAAUUAAAAUUUUUUUCUUUCGGGAAAAACUAUAGGAUUACUUGUAUUUAUAAUAGAUCGUACCCUAAACUGACACUAGUGGAUAGGUAGAGUAUACUAAGGUGAUUGAGUUAAUAAUAUUGAAGGAACUCGGCAAAUUAACUCUGUAACUUAGGGAGAAAGAGUUUCGUAAGUAGGCAUUGCCAGCUUAUGAAGUACAUAACAGGGGAGAACGACUGUUUAUCAAAAACACAGGACUUUGCAAAAUUGAAUAAAUGAAGUAUAAAGUCUGACGCCUGUCCGGUGCUGUAACUAGAAAGAAAAAGGUAUUUUGCUUUUUUCAUAAUAGCCAGUAAACGACGGUCCUAUCUUGAGGAUCCAAAGGUAGCGAAAUUCCUUGUCAUUUAAUUGAUGACCCGCAUGAAUGGCGUAACGAUUUUCCCACUGUCUCCAAUAUUAACUCAGUGAAAUUGAAUUUUCUGUGAAAAUGCAGAGUACUAGCAGUUAGACGGAAAGACCCUAUGCACCUUUACUAUAAUCAUUCAUUGUAGGUAGUAGAUUAAUUAUAUAGGAUAUAUAUGUGAAUUAAAAUGAAUUUGAUUCGUUGUUGUAAUAAUAUUUUAUUAAUCACUACUUGCUAUUAUGCAAUAAGUGUAAGUAAAGUGAAUGAUUGGUAGUUUGACUGGGGCGGUUGUCACCUAAAAAGUAACGGUGAUGUGCAUAAAGUAAACUUCAACUAUCUUGGUUUUAAAAUAUAAUGGUAUAAGUUUGCUUGACUGUUGGGCCAUCAAGCCCAACAGGAACGUAAGUUGGUCAUAGUGAUCCGGUAAAUCUGAGUGGAAAGAUUAUCGCUCAACGGAUAAAAGGUACGCUAGGGAUAACAGACUAAUGACUUCCCAGAGUCCAUAUCUACGAAGUCGUUUGGUACCUCGAUGUCGGCUCAUCACAUCCUGGAGUUGCAAGAGAUUCCAAGGGUUUAGCUGUUCGCUAAUUAAAGUGGUACGUGAGCUGGGUUCAGAACGGUGAGAACCAGUUCGGUCCCUAUCUGCUGCUAGUUGAAGAAAAUAGAAAUAAACUUUUUCUUAGUACGAAAGGACUGGAAAAAGCAUGCCUAUGGUGUACCAAUUGUAUAAUAUGAAAUGCAUCGUUGGGUAGCUACGCAUGUUAGAAUAAUUACUGAAGACAUAUAAGUAAGAAGUCUAUAUUUCAUGUUUUCUACGAGAUAGGCGAAAUAAUAUCGCUGUAUAGGUUAGACGUGUAAGCACAGUAAUGUGUUCAGCUGACUAAUACUAAUAAUCAAAAAUAUUUUUCUUU